This 497-nucleotide ribosomal RNA is filed under the name uncultured bacterium. RNAcentral's name for it is "partial 16S ribosomal RNA". It matches the Rfam family "Bacterial small subunit ribosomal RNA", at positions 28 to 507 of the family's 1533-position model. The record is from RNAcentral.
GAUGAACGCUGGCGGGGUGCCUAAUACAUGCAAGUCGAGCGAACAGACGAGGAGCUUGCUCCUCUGACGUUAGCGGCGGACGGGUGAGUAACACGUGGAUAACCUACCUAUAAGACUGGGAUAACUUCGGGAAACCGGAGCUAAUACCGGAUAACAUGUUGAACCGCAUGGUUCAACAGUGAAAGACGGUCUUGCUGUCACUUAUAGAUGGAUCCGCGCCGCAUUAGCUAGUUGGUAAGGUAACGGCUUACCAAGGCAACGAUGCGUAGCCGACCUGAGAGGGUGAUCGGCCACACUGGAACUGAGACACGGUCCAGACUCCUACGGGAGGCAGCAGUAGGGAAUCUUCCGCAAUGGGCGAAAGCCUGACGGAGCAACGCCGCGUGAGUGAAGGAGGUCUUCGGAUCGUAAAACUCUGUUAUUAGGGAAGAACAAAUGUGUAAGUAACUAUGCACGUCUUGACGGUACCUAAUCAGAAAGCCACGGCUAACUACGUG